GCUCCAAUGGCGUAUAUUAAAGUUUGUUGCAGUUAAAAAGCUCGUAGUUGGAUUUCUGGCGGGAGCGACCGGUCGGCCAUAGUGGUGUGUACUAGUGUUGCAUCCGGCCAUAUUUGCGGAGAGCGUGUGUGGCAUUAAGUUGUCGUGCUCGGGACCGCAUCGUUUACUGUGAGAAAAUUAGAGUGUUCAAAGCAGGCUUA
Molecule: ribosomal RNA, 200 nt
Filed under: uncultured eukaryote
Lineage: Eukaryota
Description: partial 18S ribosomal RNA
Rfam family: Eukaryotic small subunit ribosomal RNA
Source: RNAcentral